AUUGAACGCUGGCGGCAGGCCUAACACAUGCAAGUCGAGCGCGCGGCGGACGGGUGAGUAACGUCUGGGAAACUGCCUGAUGGCGGGGGAUAACUACUGGAAACGGUAGCUAAUACCGCAUACCAGUAGAUUUGCCCUGAUGGGAGUAGCUAGUAGGUGGGGUAACGGCUCACCUAGGCGACGAUCCAUAACUGGUCUGAGAGGAUGACCAGCCACACUGGAACUGAGACACGGUCCAGACUCCUACGGGAGGCAGCAGUGGGGAAUAUUGCGCAAUGGGCGAAAGCCUGAUGGAGCCAUGCCGCGUGUAUGAAGAAGGCCUUCGGGUUGUAAAGUACUGUCAGCGGGGAGGCGUUACCCGCAGAGGAAGCACCGGCUAACUCCGUGCCAGCCGCCGCGGUAAUAC
This 406-nucleotide ribosomal RNA is filed under the name uncultured bacterium. Its description in RNAcentral is "partial 16S ribosomal RNA". It matches the Rfam family "Bacterial small subunit ribosomal RNA", at positions 30 to 526 of the family's 1533-position model. The record is from RNAcentral.